Molecule: ribosomal RNA, 247 nt
Filed under: uncultured bacterium
Lineage: Bacteria
Description: partial 16S ribosomal RNA
Rfam family: Bacterial small subunit ribosomal RNA
Source: RNAcentral
AUACGGAGGGGGCAAGCGUUGUUCGGAUUUACUGGGUGUAAAGGGUGUGUAGGCGGUCGGGCAAGUUAGAUGUGAAAUCUCCGAGCUCAACUCGGAAAUGGCAUUUAAUACUGCUUGACUAGAGUACGAAAGAGGGAGAUGGAAUUCUCGGUGUAAGAGUGAAAUCUGCAGAUAUCGAGAGGAACACCAGUAGCGAAGGCGAUCUCCUGGGUCGAUACUGACGCUGAAACACGAAAGCUAGGGGAGC